UGAACAUCCCCCCCACCCCCGCCACCAAACAGGUCACAGACCUGAUACUGAAAGUCCUGGAGGCUCUCCCGAAAAAAGAAGAUUGUCAGGCUACUGGACAGCUGCUCAACUCUUUUUUGGAAGAAUGCGGGAUGGACCUGGAGGAAGCCACCAGUGCUCUAGCCUACAUCCUCACCCUACCCGAUGCAGCUGAUGCUCUCCAAAGCAAAUUCCCCCACCUGCUCAUCGUUGGUCAUACAAAUUUAUUUAUUCCAUGAAGCAAGCAGAAUAGGUCCAGCAAUACCUUUCAGGUUUCAGAACAGAUCAACUUCUUGAUGUAAGGAAUCUCCUAGGCACAGUCUGGAUCCUUUCUCCAUUUCUGCAACGCUCGGCAGAACUGCCGUAGAAGCAGUCAAAAGUUUAAUAAAGUGUGCCGCCUAUCAGGAGCAAUUCAAGGCUUUGGAGACAUUGGGCUGCUGGGAAAUGUUAAGGACCCCUGGACGUUUAUUUAUUUAUUUUCCAUCUGGCACGGAGCUUGUUUGCAUCCUCGAUAGAAGAGCUUGAUAUCCUGGUUCAAGAGGCCUAUAAAUACAUCCGUCAUCCGGAUAUGAAGGAGAAGACCAUUGGGAUGGAUUUCUUCUCGGAGGUAUAUUCUACAAGCAGAGGCUUCAUAGCAGAAGCUAAUGGAAUUUGCUUUGAUUUGAGAGGCUGGCUAAAUCAUUCUUGCUUGGAAGAAUUCUGCCAUGUAUAAUGGGAUUAGCUUUCAAAGAAAUGUGUUUAAGAUCAAGAUGCUUAUUUGUUUUUCUAAUACAAAGGAACUUUCUAUGCUUGCUAAAGAUAUUAUUGUAUGCAUAUGUACAUGCAUUUCAUUAUCUUUAAUGAAACUUGGGAGGCAAAAAUAAUUCUUAUUCCAUAUACACAAAAUGAGCUACAUUUCCAUGAGUGACCAA
Thamnophis elegans (Western terrestrial garter snake) is the source of this 929-nucleotide long non-coding RNA. RefSeq lists it as uncharacterized. NCBI's taxonomy places the organism in Eukaryota, Metazoa, Chordata, Lepidosauria, Squamata, Natricidae. The record is from RefSeq and is a predicted model, not a curated record. The transcript is spliced from 5 exons.